UACGUAGGUGGCAAGCGUUGUCCGGAUUUACUGGGCGUAAAGGGCGUGCAGGCGGUUGGGUAAGUCUAGGGUGAAAGCUCCCGGCUCAACUGGGAGAGGUCCUUGGAUACUGGCCGACUUGAGGGAGGCAGAGGAGAGUGGAAUUCCCGGUGUAGUGGUGAUAUGCGUAGAUAUCGGGAGGAACACCAGUGGCGAAGGCGGCUCUCUGGGCCUUACCUGACGCUGAGACGCGAAAGCGUGGGGAGCGAACCGG
RNAcentral lists this ribosomal RNA (253 nucleotides) under uncultured bacterium. Its description in RNAcentral is "partial 16S ribosomal RNA". It matches the Rfam family "Bacterial small subunit ribosomal RNA", at positions 524 to 776 of the family's 1533-position model. The record is from RNAcentral.